RNAcentral lists this ribosomal RNA (463 nucleotides) under uncultured bacterium. Its description in RNAcentral is "partial 16S ribosomal RNA". It matches the Rfam family "Bacterial small subunit ribosomal RNA", at positions 28 to 507 of the family's 1533-position model. The record is from RNAcentral.
GAUGAACGCUGACAGAAUGCUUAACACAUGCAAGUCGAUGGGGAAGUGGUGCUUGCACCCUGGUAACCAUGGCGGACGGGUGAGUAACGCGUAAGGAACUUACCUGCGGGACCGGGAUAACAGCAGGAAACUGCUGACAAGACCGGAUAAGGUCAUUAAGCUGCAUAGCUUAGUGAUGAAAGGAGACGCCUGCGUAGAGCCUUGCGUCCUAUUAGCUAGUUGGAGGGGUAACGGCCCACCAAGGCGAAGAUAGGUAGCCGGCCUGAGAGGGUGGACGGCCACAAGGGGACUGAGAUACGGCCCUUACUCCUACGGGAGGCAGCAGUGGGGAAUAUUGGACAAUGGGGGCAACCCUGAUCCAGCAAUUCUGUGUGCACGAAGACGGUUUUCGGAUUGUAAAGUGCUUUCAGCAGGGAAGAAGGAAGUGACGGUACCUGCAGAAGAAGCGACGGCUAAAUACGUG